Molecule: long non-coding RNA, 628 nt
Organism: Patella vulgata (common limpet)
Lineage: Eukaryota; Metazoa; Mollusca; Gastropoda; Patellidae
Exons: 3
Source: RefSeq, a predicted model, not a curated record
UGCAAGGACAGCGUCUAUUCGUACAGGGUGUGACUAAAGACCAAGGUCCCGUGUUCAUGUUGACAUGCACGUAAAAUAGUCCUUGGCAGAUAGAAUUCAGAAUCGACUGUCCGGGAAUGUUCACACACAUUUCGAUAGUUAUGAUAUAAAAUGUGGAUGAUUUUAACAUUUAAUAUUAUUUCAGGCGAGGUGACCGUAGAACUAGUAUCUACAUCAGAUACGGCCACUGAUAGAACCAAGCGAUCACCAGCUCUACCUGGAACUCUUUCAUUUGAGUUUCAGUACGGUGGUGAUCAGGUUUUGCUUAACCUGGAGAAGAAUACUAAUGUUGGUAUCAAUACUCCUGUAUUCCUACACAGACAGGGUGAAGCAGUCCCUCUAGGUUCAACCAAUCAUAAGACAAAAGAUGUAGCUUUUUACCAGGAUGUAACCAAGGGAGCGUCUAUUAUGGUCAGAAGACAGGAACAGAUGACAGAUAUGUAUGAACUGAUGGGAACAUAUUACCUUGAAGAUAACCAGUACAGUAUAGAACCAAUCGAACCAAAUAAAGAAACUCAACCAAGCUUUUCUAUGACCUUUAAUCAUACCAUUAGUAUCCUGAAUGAGCAUCUUAAUUUGAAAGAUGAUA